Molecule: ribosomal RNA, 450 nt
Filed under: uncultured bacterium
Lineage: Bacteria
Description: bacterial SSU rRNA
Rfam family: Bacterial small subunit ribosomal RNA
Source: RNAcentral
UUCGCAAUGCCCGAAAGGGUGACGGAGCGACGCCGCGUGUGGGACGAAGCCCUUCGGGGUGUAAACCACUGUCAGGGGACAGAAAGUUCUGAUCGUCCCCAGAGGAAGGCACGGCUAACUCUGUGCCAGCAGCCGCGGUAAGCCAGAGGUGCCAAGCGUUAGGCGGAAUCACUGGGCUUAAAGCGUGUGUAGGCGGGUGCCUAAGUACCUUGUGAAAUCCCACGGCUCAACCGUGGAACUGCUGGGUAUACUGGGUGCCUUGGGUCAUCUAGGGGCUGCCGGAACGAAUGGUGGAGCGGUGAAAUGCGUAGAUAUCAUUUGGAACGCCAACGGCGAAAGCAGGCAGCUGGGGAUGCACCGACGCUGAGACACGAAAGCCAGGGGAGCGAACGGGAUUAGAUACCCUGGUAGUCCUGGCCGUAAACGAUGGGCACUAAGUAGAGGGGUUUU